UCUACCUCUAGGGACUUUACAUGUGUUGCUGCUGUGUCACAUGUGCAUCAGUAGAUGGCAGAGAGGAGAGGGGCUGUGUCUAUGCUCAGUGUCCUGACAUAUGAAUGUCUGAAUAAAAGAAGCAAGCGGC
Molecule: small nucleolar RNA, 130 nt
Organism: Apodemus sylvaticus (European woodmouse)
Lineage: Eukaryota; Metazoa; Chordata; Mammalia; Rodentia; Muridae
Product: small nucleolar RNA SNORA17
Exons: 1
Source: RefSeq, a predicted model, not a curated record